UGGGGAAUAUUGCACAAUGGGCGCAAGCCUGAUGCAGCCAUGCCGCGUGUGUGAAGAAGGCCUUCGGGUUGUAAAGCACUUUCAGCGGGGAGGAAGGCGGUGAGGUUAAUAACCUCACCGAUUGACGUUACCCGCAGAAGAAGCACCGGCUAACUCCGUGCCAGCAGCCGCGGUAAUACGGAGGGUGCAAGCGUUAAUCGGAAUUACUGGGCGUAAAGCGCACGCAGGCGGUCUGUCAAGUCAGAUGUGAAAUCCCCGGGCUCAACCUGGGAACUGCAUCUGAUACUGGCAAGCUUGAGUCUCGUAGAGGGGGGUAGAAUUCCAGGUGUAGCGGUGAAAUGCGUAGCGAUCUGGAGGAAUACCGGUGGCGGAGGCGGCCCCCUGGACAAAGACUGACGCUCAGGUGCGAAAGCGUGGGGAGCAAACAGG
RNAcentral lists this ribosomal RNA (429 nucleotides) under Chloroflexota bacterium. Its description in RNAcentral is "Chloroflexi bacterium partial 16S ribosomal RNA". It matches the Rfam family "Bacterial small subunit ribosomal RNA", at positions 355 to 776 of the family's 1533-position model. Lineage: Bacteria; Bacillati; Chloroflexota. The record is from RNAcentral.